This 477-nucleotide ribosomal RNA is filed under the name uncultured bacterium. RNAcentral's name for it is "bacterial SSU rRNA". It matches the Rfam family "Bacterial small subunit ribosomal RNA", at positions 28 to 524 of the family's 1533-position model. The record is from RNAcentral.
GACGAACGCUGGCGGCGUGCCUAACACAUGCAAGUCGAACGAGGUCCAUCCUUCGGGAGAAGACCUAGUGGCGAACGGGUGAGUAACACGUGAAGAACCUGCCCGAAGACCGGGAUAACCCUCCGAAAGGAGAGCUAAUACCGGAUACCCCCACCGAACCGCAUGGUUUGGUGAGGAAAUGGAUUCCGCUUCGGGAGGGCUUCGCGGCCUAUCAGCUAGUUGGUGGGGUAACGGCCCACAAGGCAUCGACGGGUAGCUGGUCUGAGAGGACGAUCAGCCACACUGGGACUGAGACACGGCCCAGACUCCUACGGGAGGCAGCAGUGGGGAAUCUUGCGCGAUGGGCGAAAGCCUGACGCAGCAACGCCGCGUGGGGGAUGAAGGCUCUCGGGUUGUAAACCCCUUUCAGCAGGGACGAAUCAAGACGGUACCUGCAGAAGAAGCCCCGGCUAACUACGUGCCAGCAGCCGCGGUAAU